Molecule: ribosomal RNA, 253 nt
Filed under: uncultured bacterium
Lineage: Bacteria
Description: partial 16S ribosomal RNA
Rfam family: Bacterial small subunit ribosomal RNA
Source: RNAcentral
UACGUAGGUCCCAAGCGUUAUCCGGAAUUACUGGGCGUAAAGCGUGCGCAGGCGGUUGUGUAAGACAGAUGUGAAAUCCCCGGGCUUAACCUGGGAACUGCAUUUGUGACUGCACGGCUGGAGUGCGGCAGAGGGGGAUGGAAUUCCGCGUGUAGCAGUGAAAUGCGUAGAUAUGCGGAGGAACACCGAUGGCGAAGGCAAUCCCCUGGGCCUGCACUGACGCUCAUGCACGAAAGCGUGGGGAGCAAACAGG